UAGGGAAUCUUCCGCAAUGGAUGCAAGUCUGACGGAGCAACGCCGCGUGAGUGAAGAAGGAUUUCGGUUCGUAAAACUCUGUUGUUAGAGAAGAACAGCGCAUAGAGUAACUGUUAUGCGUGUGACGGUAUCUAACCAGAAAGCCACGGCUAACUACGUGCCAGCAGCCGCGGUAAUACGUAGGUGGCAAGCGUUGUCCGGAUUUAUUGGGCGCAAAGCGAGCGCAGGCGGUCAAUUAAGUCUGAUGUGAAAGCCCCCGGCUCAACCGGGGAGGGUCAUUGGAAACUGGUUGACUUGAGUGCAGAAGAGGAGAGUGGAAUUCCAUGUGUAGCGGUGAAAUGCGUAGAUAUAUGGAGGAACACCGGUGGCGAAAGCGGCUCUCUGGUCUGUAACUGACGCUGAGGCUCGAAAGCGUGGGGAGCGAACAGG
This 429-nucleotide ribosomal RNA is filed under the name Bacteroidota bacterium. Its description in RNAcentral is "Bacteroidetes bacterium partial 16S ribosomal RNA". It matches the Rfam family "Bacterial small subunit ribosomal RNA", at positions 355 to 776 of the family's 1533-position model. The record is from RNAcentral. Lineage: Bacteria; Pseudomonadati; Bacteroidota.